RNAcentral lists this small RNA (3259 nucleotides) under Pan troglodytes (chimpanzee). Its description in RNAcentral is "processed transcript". The record is from RNAcentral. Lineage: Eukaryota; Metazoa; Chordata; Mammalia; Primates; Hominidae.
UAAUACGCAUUCUAAUGAAUUUAAAGAGAGUGCCCUUACCUUAGCUUGUUACAAAGGACACUUAGAGAUGGUGCGAUUUCUUUUGGAAGCAGGCGCGGAUCAAGAGCAUAAAACAGAUGAAAUGCACACUGCUCUGAUGGAGGCUUGCAUGGAUGGCCAUGUUGAAGUAGCUAGGUUACUUCUUGACAGCGGUGCCCAAGUGAACAUGCCUGCUGAUUCAUUUGAGUCACCAUUAACUUUGGCUGCAUGUGGUGGGCAUGUGGAACUUGCGGCUUUACUUAUUGAAAGAGGAGCUAGCCUGGAAGAGGUCAAUGAUGAAGGUUAUACACCAUUGAUGGAAGCAGCUCGAGAAGGACAUGAAGAAAUGGUGGCAUUACUUCUUGGUCAAGGAGCUAACGUUCAUGCAACAACAGCAACAGGGGAUACAGCACUAACAUAUGCCUGUGAAAAUGGUCAUACUGAUGUAGCAGAUGUCUUACUUCAGGCAGGCGCAGAUCUGGAACAUGAAUCUGAAGGUGGAAGAACUCCUUUAAUGAAAGCUGCAAGAGCUGGUCAUGUUUGUACUGUUCAGUUCUUAAUUAGUAAAGGAGCGAAUGUGAAUAGAACCACAGCUAAUAAUGACCAUACUGUACUGUCCCUGGCUUGUGCAGGGGGUCAUCUGGCAGUGGUGGAACUACUUUUGGCUCAUGGGGCAGAUCCUACUCACCGUUUGAAAGAUGGCUCAACUAUGUUGAUAGAAGCAGCAAAAGGUGGCCAUACAAGUGUUGUUUGCUAUCUCUUGGAUUAUCCUAAUAACUUGCUUUCAGCCCCUCCACCAGAUGUCACUCAGUUAACUCCCCCAUCCCACGAUUUAAAUAGGGCUCCUCGUGUACCAGUUCAAGCACUGCCCAUGGUUGUUCCACCUCAGGAGCCUGACAAACCACCUGCCAAUGUUGCCACCACUCUUCCCAUCAGGAAUAAAGCUGCUUCUAAACAAAAGUCCAGCAGCCAUUUGCCAGCAAACAGCCAGGAUGUACAGGGUUACAUCACCAAUCAGUCUCCAGAGAGCAUUGUAGAAGAGGCUCAGGGAAAGUUAACAGAACUGGAACAGAGGAUAAAAGAAGCCAUAGAAAAGAAUGCACAGCUGCAGUCCUUGGAACUGGCUCAUGCUGACCAACUUACCAAGGAGAAGAUCGAGGAGCUCAACAAAACAAGGGAGGAACAAAUUCAGAAGAAACAAAAGAUUUUGGAGGAACUACAGAAAGUAGAACGAGAGUUACAACUGAAAACUCAGCAGCAGCUAAAAAAGCAGUAUCUAGAGGUUAAAGCUCAAAGAAUUCAACUUCAGCAACAGCAGCAACAGUCUUGCCAACACCUGGGAUUACUAACUCCUGUUGGAGUUGGAGAGCAGCUUUCUGAGGGAGACUAUGCACGGUUACAGCAAGUGGAUCCUGUUUUACUUAAAGAUGAACCCCAGCAGACUGCUGCUCAGAUGGGUUUUGCACCAAUCCAGCCUCUGGCGAUGCCUCAAGCUUUGCCUCUGGCGGCAGGUCCCUUGCCUCCAGGGUCCAUCGCAAAUCUUACAGAACUGCAAGGAGUGAUAGUUGGACAGCCAGUACUGGGCCAAGCACAGUUGGCAGGGCUGGGGCAAGGAAUUCUGACAGAAACACAACAAGGGUUAAUGGUAGCCAGCCCUGCUCAGACCCUCAAUGACACGCUGGAUGACAUCAUGGCAGCAGUCAGUGGAAGAGCAUCUGCAAUGUCAAACACUCCUACCCACAGUAUUGCUGCAUCCAUUUCCCAACCUCAGACUCCAACUCCAAGUCCUAUCAUCUCUCCUUCAGCCAUGCUUCCUAUCUACCCUGCCAUUGAUAUUGAUGCACAGACUGAGAGUAAUCAUGACACGGCGCUAACACUUGCCUGUGCUGGUGGCCACGAGGAACUGGUACAAACACUGCUAGAGAGAGGAGCUAGUAUAGAGCACCGAGACAAGAAAGGUUUUACUCCACUCAUCUUGGCUGCCACAGCUGGUCAUGUUGGUGUUGUGGAAAUAUUGCUGGACAAUGGUGCAGACAUUGAAGCCCAGUCUGAAAGAACCAAGGACACACCACUCUCCUUGGCUUGUUCUGGGGGAAGACAGGAGGUGGUGGAGCUAUUGUUAGCUCGAGGGGCAAAUAAAGAGCACAGGAAUGUUUCUGAUUACACACCUCUAAGUCUGGCUGCUUCUGGUGGCUAUGUGAACAUCAUCAAAAUAUUACUAAAUGCAGGAGCUGAGAUUAACUCUAGAACUGGUAGCAAAUUGGGCAUCUCUCCUCUGAUGUUAGCAGCUAUGAAUGGGCAUACAGCUGCUGUUAAGCUCCUGUUAGACAUGGGCUCUGACAUAAAUGCUCAGAUAGAAACCAAUCGGAACACUGCCCUUACUUUAGCCUGCUUCCAAGGAAGAACUGAAGUGGUUAGUCUUCUGCUUGAUAGAAAAGCAAAUGUUGAACACAGAGCUAAGACUGGUCUCACACCACUAAUGGAAGCUGCUUCUGGUGGAUAUGCGGAGGUGGGCCGAGUUCUUUUGGAUAAAGGUGCUGAUGUUAAUGCCCCUCCAGUUCCCUCCUCAAGAGAUACAGCUUUAACCAUAGCAGCAGAUAAAGGGCAUUACAAAUUCUGUGAGCUUCUUAUUGGCAGGGGAGCUCAUAUUGAUGUACGUAACAAGAAGGGGAACACUCCAUUGUGGCUAGCAGCAAAUGGUGGACACCUCGAUGUGGUUCAGUUACUGGUGCAAGCAGGUGCAGAUGUGGAUGCAGCAGAUAACCGCAAGAUAACUCCUCUUAUGGCAGCAUUUAGAAAGGGUCAUGUGAAGGUGGUGCGCUACUUAGUCAAAGAAGUCAAUCAGUUUCCAUCAGAUUCUGAAUGUAUGAGAUACAUAGCAACCAUCACUGAUAAGGAGAUGCUGAAGAAGUGUCAUCUUUGUAUGGAGUCAAUAGUACAAGCCAAAGAUAGACAGGCUGCUGAAGCAAACAAAAACGCCAGCAUUUUGUUAGAGGAGUUAGACUUGGAAAAGGCAGACUACAACAUCAUUCCCAUCUAUUCCCAUGGGGAGUAAAAUACACCAAAACAGCAUAUAGUUUGGACAGUCUUAUAGCUUCUUCACUUCCCUUUUCUGCCACAUUUUCCCCUAUAAUUCUGUACUCUAGAACUUAAUUGAAUAGUAAUCAUAGGAAAAUAAUUGGUUUGGCAUUGAAUAUUAUGGAACUGCCAUAUCUCAUCUUUUAUAAAAAGGUCAGUGGCU